AGGGAAAUUUGCAUCUCUCUGCUCUUUUUGAAUACUUUCUCAUUAGACUCAUUAAGAUUUCUUGCCCAGUUCCAGCUAUCCCAUAUGUUUGAUCACUGCCUGUUCAUACCUUCCUGGUAUGGCUGGUUGGCAGUAACCUCUGAUCAAUCCAAAUUUCAUCAUACAUUUAUUGGCAAGCACUGACCUCAGAGAAAACUACUCAAGGAUCAAACAGAGUUAUAAAGAAAAAGAAACUUACUGCAAAGAAAGGCAAUACACUUUCAGUAAAGUAAACAGCAAGAAAAGUGGUAUAGUUCUAUGCAAAGACUUCAUCUACUCUAGAAUCCUGUCUCAGAAGAUGAAGGCUGCUCUGGUGAAAGAUAAGUUCAGCAAAUAAAACAGACGAGACUGGCUGAUUUAGAAGCUGGAAGGGAAUGAAUGGACAGCUGAAUCCUAGCAAAACCAUUUUCUUCAAAGUGAAUUAUCUGAAUGAAAAUGGGAAGAAAAGGCCCAGUCUAGUCAGGAAAAGAAAAUGGCAAGAUGCUUGCAGUACCUCCGUAGAUUUGCAUUGCUAAUUUUGAAUCCAUGUAAUUGAGCAAUGGUGGAGCACAGCCAUGCCAAGCAUAGAGGAAAAUUAGAUAUGAGUUAGGGGAACAAAGGACUAAAUCAGUACAGGAAGAUUCUGAAAGAAAAUGUACAAAUCGUGGCAGGAAAACAGUACUUCAAAAGGCUCAUGCCUGAGAUUUGUUAUGGCUAUCAGGAAACAUCAGUUCUGCUCCUAAUUUCAUCUCUAUUUAAAGAAAGAAAAGAAAUCUGAAUAAUUUAA
This 805-nucleotide long non-coding RNA is filed under the name Phasianus colchicus (ring-necked pheasant). Its description in RNAcentral is "lncRNA (ENSPCLG00000005860.1)". The record is from RNAcentral. Lineage: Eukaryota; Metazoa; Chordata; Aves; Galliformes; Phasianidae.